RNAcentral lists this long non-coding RNA (560 nucleotides) under Equus caballus (horse). Its description in RNAcentral is "lncRNA (ENSECAG00000055911.1)". Lineage: Eukaryota; Metazoa; Chordata; Mammalia; Perissodactyla; Equidae. The record is from RNAcentral.
CAUGUAACCUCACAAUCUGUGAAGGUUGGAAUUUAUCAUCCCUCUUUAAGAGAGGAUAAAACUGAGGGGCCAGCCCAGUGGCACAGCUGUUCAGGUUGCACGUUCGGAUUCAGCAGCCCAGGGUUCACCAGUUCGGAUCCCAGGAACCCAUUGUGGUGAAAACUGGGGACUUUCUGCCCCAGUAUGUUGGACUGUACCCUCCCUGACCUCACCAUUAGCAAUGUUGAAGAUGACUCUCCAGUUAAGUUAUCAAGGUCAUGUAAUACUGGGAAAGAAGAUGACCGUGGAAUGCCUGGAUUCAAGCCCUGGUCUUCUAUUUGCAAGAUGAGUUCUUUGGAUAAAUCACAAUCUACCAGAACUUCAGUUUGCUCUUUUGUAAAUUGGAGGUCGGCCCAAGGAAUCCACUUGCCUGAGGAAAUACUAGGAUCUUUUUAAAAGAGAAACACAAAGAGGGAAAAUGAGCAAUCAGCUUCUACUAUACAAUAUAGAAUUCUGCAGAAGACAAUUUCUAUUGUCUUGAGAGAGAAUUUUUCCAAGUCCUUUUUGCCUCCUCAUCAGAG